Molecule: transfer RNA, 72 nt
Filed under: Camelus bactrianus (Bactrian camel)
Lineage: Eukaryota; Metazoa; Chordata; Mammalia; Artiodactyla; Camelidae
Also listed under: 2 other names
Rfam family: tRNA
About the family: Transfer RNA (tRNA) molecules are approximately 80 nucleotides in length. Their secondary structure includes four short double-helical elements and three loops (D, anti-codon, and T loops). Further hydrogen bonds mediate the characteristic L-shaped molecular structure. tRNAs have two regions of fundamental functional importance: the anti-codon, which is responsible for specific mRNA codon recognition, and the 3' end, to which the tRNAs corresponding amino acid is attached (by aminoacyl-tRNA synthetases). tRNAs cope with the degeneracy of the genetic code in two manners: having more than one tRNA (with a specific anti-codon) for a particular amino acid; and 'wobble' base-pairing, i.e. permitting non-standard base-pairing at the 3rd anti-codon position.
Source: Rfam by way of RNAcentral
GAAAGCAUGGUUCAGUGGUAGAGUGCGUGCUUAGCAUGCACGAGGUCCUGGGUUCAAUCCCCAGUACCUCCA